CACUCCUGCGGGAGGCAGCAGUGGGGAAUUUUGGACAAUGGGCGAAAGCCUGAUCCAGCAAUGCCGCGUGCAGGAUGAAGGCCUUCGGGUUGUAAACUGCUUUUGUACGGAACGAAAAAGCUCCUUCUAAUACAGGGGGCCCAUGACGGUACCGUAAGAAUAAGCACCGGCUAACUACGUGCCAGCAGCCGCGGUAAUACGUAGGGUGCGAGCGUUAAUCGGAAUUACUGGGCGUAAAGCGUGCGCAGGCGGUUAUGUAAGACAGAUGUGAAAUCCCCGGGCUCAACCUGGGAACUGCAUUUGUGACUGCAUGGCUAGAGUACGGUAGAGGGGGAUGGAAUUCCGCGUGUAGCAGUGAAAUGCGUAGAUAUGCGGAGGAACACCGAUGGCGAAGGCAAUCCCCUGGACCUGUACUGACGCUCAUGCACGAAAGCGUGGGGAGCAAACAGGAUUAGAUACCCGUGUAGUCCCAUGA
Molecule: ribosomal RNA, 475 nt
Filed under: uncultured organism
Description: partial 16S ribosomal RNA
Rfam family: Bacterial small subunit ribosomal RNA
Source: RNAcentral